UUAGUACUACCUCCGUCCAAGGAUGUCUCAACUUUGAUUAAGUUUGAAUAUAUCUAUACAUUAAAUCAUGUCUAGAUACAUUCAAAUUUUGACAAAUUUCAGACAUCUUUUGUGGGACGGAGGGAGUACACA
Molecule: non-coding RNA, 132 nt
Organism: Brachypodium distachyon (stiff brome)
Lineage: Eukaryota; Viridiplantae; Streptophyta; Magnoliopsida; Poales; Poaceae
Source: Rfam